AUGCAAACCAACAGAGAUAACGUUACAUUAUAUUUAAAUACGUUCAUUUUUUGUUUCGCUUUUUCUUUUUAUUCGUAUUACUAAGUGGUGCUGAACCCAGAGCCAUCGAACUCAUUUCUUCGGUAACAUCCAUAACCUCGCCUGUGUUACUCUUUGCAUUAAAUAUAACUUCUGAUGGAGUUUCUUCACACUUGAUUUUUACCAAAGUACUUUCUAAAAGAUCAUAUAGUUUGAAAUUAUGUGAUUUAUUAUCGCCUCCAGUGGCAAACAUGAACGGACUAUUUGGACUAGCUUCCAAACAUUGUAAUGCUCCCAAGUUUGUCUUUGUUUCCCACACCAACUCAGGCUUUUCGUUACUGAUAACAUCCCAAACUUUCAAACAACUGUCAGUUGAACAGCUAACCAACAACCCAGGACAAGAAGAACUGAGAAUCAAACCUGUAAUGGAAUGAGUAUUUUUCAUACAUAGAUUGCACACAUUGAUCAGACCAACAUUAAUAUACCUG
RNAcentral lists this unclassified non-coding RNA (506 nucleotides) under Athalia rosae (coleseed sawfly). RNAcentral's name for it is "misc RNA ENSAEAG00005002593.1". The record is from RNAcentral. Lineage: Eukaryota; Metazoa; Arthropoda; Insecta; Hymenoptera; Athaliidae.